RNAcentral lists this ribosomal RNA (228 nucleotides) under uncultured bacterium. RNAcentral's name for it is "partial 16S ribosomal RNA". It matches the Rfam family "Bacterial small subunit ribosomal RNA", at positions 103 to 334 of the family's 1533-position model. The record is from RNAcentral.
CGGGCGAGUAAUGCUUGGGAAUCUAGCUUAUGGAGGGGGAUAACUACGGGAAACUGUAGCUAAUACCGCGUAGAAUCGGGAGAUGAAAGUGUGGGACCUUCGGGCCACAUGCCAUAGGAUGAGCCCAAGUGGGAUUAGGUAGUUGGUGAGGUAAAGGCUCACCAAGCCGACGAUCUCUAGCUGGUCUGAGAGGAUGACCAGCCACACUGGGACUGAGACACGGCCCAG